Long non-coding RNA from Helianthus annuus (common sunflower), 1559 nucleotides. RefSeq lists it as uncharacterized. NCBI's taxonomy places the organism in Eukaryota, Viridiplantae, Streptophyta, Magnoliopsida, Asterales, Asteraceae. The record is from RefSeq and is a predicted model, not a curated record. The transcript is spliced from 5 exons.
CUGGUGGAUCGAACACAGCAGGAGAAAAAGGAGAGGGGUGUAAACCCUAAUCCAUGAAGAACCUCCAAAUUGACAAGGAAAUUAGGCUCAAAAUCGGAAGCAUGAACUGAGAUUAUGAUCAUUCGGGUGUUCUUCACAUCAAGAUAGGCACAUGCCAUUUUGGGCGCGAACUCGGGAGGCAACGAGACGAACAUAUGGAAUACGUAUCAACUACUUACGGGUCAAGGUGGCUUAAUUGUGAAUUCUAGUGGAGGUUGAUUCACAAGUUGGAAGCGAUAGUUGACUAUGAAAUUAAUGGAGUCGAGUUCGUUGGAAGUUUGUGAAAAAUAUAGAUCAGAAUCCACCUAUUUGAGUUAUUUAAUAUAUAUUAUAUAUAGAACUCAUAACGUGCAUGUUGGGUUUCAGCUAUAAUGGGAACUAGAGGUUCGCGGACUGAUGAAUGGAACAAGGUUUGGCGACAAAUCCGAGAUCGGUUCAGUAAUGUCGGUUCGUCCAUCCGUCAGGUUAUAUCGCCGACUUAGACGGGUCAUCAUGUUUUACUUGCCUUUUUAGGCAUUCGGUAGUUUUAAACCGUGUAAGCUUCAUGAGUCAGACGUAGUGUCUUGUUUUGUUUAUGUUCAAGUUUAGAGUUGUAAAAUGGAUUGUAAACAGGUUUUGUUAUCGUAACGGUUAUCCGUAUUACAAACGGGUCAUGCCGAAAUUUUAUAAAAAUUGGCAUGAAAUAUGUAAGUGUUUAAAUGAUGGUAACUAUCAAAUGAAAGUCAAGACACUAUAAUUGUUUCUAGAAAUUGAAGCUAAAAAAAAUGGGCCUACAUUCCGCAUAGUAAGAAUGUUUAGAAAAUUUAUGGGGAGACUUGUAACACCCCAAAAAUGUUUAUCAUGAAAAUAAGUUAAAAUAUUAAAAACUUAACUUAGUUAGUUAAAAAGGAAAAUGUGUUGUAAAUAUUAGUUAAGUGAUGGAAAAGGGGCCUAAUUAAAAGAAAUGUAAAAACUAGAAGGGCUAGAUGUGAAUGAUACUAAAAUAGGGGUAUUAGAAGGUGGAAACGCAAAACACACACAUCUGUGCGUGUCUGGGGUCGAACAAGCAGAGGAAACAAGGGUGAAACCUUGUUUACUAAAUUCAAUCAAUUGGAUAGGAGAUUUGAAGAUAAUCAACUGCAUGAACUCGAAUCUACACCCAUCCAAAGUCGAUAUUGAAGUGGCGUGAAGGAAGAAAGUUCAAGUGCUAGGAAAACGGAAAAACACACAAGGUUGAGGUAAAUCCUCAACCUAGGCGACUGGGCGACUUGGAGCGACGCACACACACUUAUUAUGACCAUUUUGCGCUUCCGCUAUUUUGUCUUAAAGCUAUGGGUCAAAAAUACUUUGUUAGGAACAAGCUUGUUAGUAGUUAACUUUUAAACAUGUUGUUAUGGUUUUUAGUCGAGUCUUUUGAACGGGUCGUAGUCUUAACUGUAACAUUGUUGGUUGAAACAGGGAUACGCUCGUCGUAUCGACGAGUUAUGCCCAAAUUUUGUUAGACUCGCAUAUCAAUGUUAAUAGUAUCUUUACUUUCAAAA